Molecule: long non-coding RNA, 346 nt
Organism: Passer domesticus (house sparrow)
Lineage: Eukaryota; Metazoa; Chordata; Aves; Passeriformes; Passeridae
Exons: 4
Source: RefSeq, a predicted model, not a curated record
UUUUAUGUGAAAGGAUGAAAUCAGAGGGAGCACUAACACUCAUGGACUGUGCACUCAUACAAAUAUAUGCAGAAAAAAAAUAACUGUAGAAGAAUGCAAAAGCUGGAAAUCUAGAAGUUAUUCGGGUUUUGUGUUUAAGAGAAGCAGAUUUCUGUCCUUGUUCAUGAACAGCUUGGAGAUACCAGGUCUUAGCAAGAACUUCUCCCAGAUGCUAAGUAAACUGCUACUGUAAGACAGACCAACUAAAAAGCUAUUCCCGAAAAGGAAAAAAGAGGUGCAGGACCCUAACAACAUCUCUGCAACUCUUAUGUAAUGAAUGCAAAAUUCAAAGAAAAAUGGCAGAAGA